UAACGACUCUCGGCAACGGAUAUCUCGGCUCUCGCAUCGAUGAAGAACGCAGCAAAAUGCGAUACUUGGUGUGAAUUGCAGAAUCCCGUGAAUCAUCGAGUUUUUGAACGCAAGUUGCGCCCGAAGCCUUCAGGCCGAGGGCACGUCUGCCUGGGUGUCACGC
RNAcentral lists this ribosomal RNA (163 nucleotides) under Dalechampia schippii. RNAcentral describes it as "5.8S ribosomal RNA". It matches the Rfam family "5.8S ribosomal RNA". Rfam says of the family: 5.8S ribosomal RNA (5.8S rRNA) is a component of the large subunit of the eukaryotic ribosome. The record is from RNAcentral. Lineage: Eukaryota; Viridiplantae; Streptophyta; Magnoliopsida; Malpighiales; Euphorbiaceae.